AAGAGUCUUUCAGUUAUGCUUAUACUCCUUAUAAAACACCAUGAUCGUUCAUUUUAUCCAUCCAUCAGGAAAUCAUCAAGGCACCAUUACGGGAAGAUAAGGAAUCAAGAACAUGGCAUCAUCUUAUUCAACUUUAACAUUUCCAUGUAAGUAAAACUGAAUUAUGAUUAAUCUUUAUGUGAAAUUGAUCAUUGAUCAUGUUUCUAAACCUUCAUUUGGUAUCAAAGCAUGGUUUUAAUUAAGUUUUUAUGCCCUAAUUUCAGUUUUAUUGUUUGAUUCAUAAUGAAUUGGUUCAUAAGAACCCUAAAAUCUCAACCCUAAUUUUUGAAUUUCUGGUAUUACAAGAUAAUGAAUGGGGAUUUAAUUAUUAGAAACAAAUGCUUUCGAAACUGCGAUUACUAAAAGAAUCAUGUGGUUCAUGUAAAAAUCACUGGCAAAAAGUAAACUUUGUCAUUACUACAUAAUUAUGGUUCCAGAAUUUUUGAUAAAGUCCAUGCCUUCUUUGUUGAAAAGCCUCAAUACGUUCACUAAAAUGAACAAAUAUAUAUUUUAAUUUCAUGUUCCUUUAUGGAACUUGUGGUUUCAAGAAAGCUCUUAUAGGAGAGUAUGUUUUUUUUCUUUUGUUAUCUGACAUACGCAAGAAGGAGAGUAUUUUUUUUCUUUUGUUAUCUGACAUACACAAGAAGGCUUGUAGCCUUUAGGGUUAUUACUUUAUUAUAUGUAUAUAUUUUUUUGAUGAAUAAUUUAUGCCAAAAGACCCAUUGUAAUUGUAAACGAAUAUUGGUUUUGGUUUUGAGUUUGGCUUCUAAAUUUCUAAUAGUACAUUUUACAAUCAUAUGAUAAUCAUUAGAUUUCAAAGUUAUUUUAUUUUUGAUUUGCUGGUUCAUGAUCAAUAUUGAAACUUUUAAAUUUUCAUGGUUUAUUAUUAUUAAUGUCUUAAUAAAAUUGAUCCAAAAAGAAACUAUUAGAUUCGAUGUUUAUGAAAAUGAUAAGUGGACUCUAAUGGGUUUUGAAGUGAGAACCAUAAAAGAAUCAUGUUUUGUCAUAUCUUCCCCACCACUUACGUAAUUGUCUCAUCAUAAUUUUAACAUAUCAUCAUAAUCGAGGAUUUCUUUAAAUUCAAUGUUAAUAGUAAAUUUUAAACAAGUAUAGCCUCUACUUGAUAUAUUAGUAAUUUAUUUUGUGGUUAAUUGUUUACCAAACAUUCCAUCAAACUUGAAUGUAAUUAAAUUUGGUUAUGCAAAUUAUGAUGGAAAAUGUGGAUUCUCUUAUUCCACAAUCAUUGAUAAUGUCAGGCUUUUUUAUCUUUUGUCAAGUUAUCAUGUAUAAUCUUACCAAUGAUUAUAUACUUUUCCAUUUUAUUUGUUUACAUUUAGUUUGGCAUCAAAUUAACAUGAUUGACAUUUUAUUUAUGGUUACUUUGCCACUAUAAGAAAGUUAUUGUAACUGACCUUUAUUUAUAAACCUCAUUUGAUAAAUUAUAAGUUUAUAAUUUUAAACAAUAAGUGGUAAUUAACUUCUAUGUUGCACUUAAGUGAAUGGACCAAAGAAAGGUCACUUAAGUUUGACAUUAGAGUUAAUGAAACGCCACAUUAAACAAUUGUCUGAGUUAUUGUUCUAUGACCCAAAGGCUAAUUGGAUGACAACUAUCACAAUGAAUUUUAGCAUAAUAUGCAUAAGUAUUGUAUUUCUACCCAAAGGUGAUUGCAAUAUUUAUGUAGCGAAUUAUAACUUUUAGGAUACCAAAAUAUUCAACCAUUGGUCUAGCCAAAGCGAAACUGAUACUUGAGUCAGGUGUCUAUACGACUUAUUAUUUUGGUGUUAAUAAUAAGUAUAUUGGUAUGUUUUAUCAUGCUAUCCCAUGAAAUGCCUUUAAUAUCACUUUAAAAAAAUUGCAACUUAAAUAAGUGAUCAGGAUAUUUCUAAUAAGGUACAAAAACUUUGUUGAAAAUAUUGUCAUUACCAGGAAUGAAACUUUUGCAAAAGGAAAGAAUGAAUUGCAAGGAAAGAUGGAUUAUAUGCAUCUAUGAUUUAUUUAUAAGUUCAAUUGUACGUAUGUUUUUUUUUCUUUCACUACAGGGAUUCCAUACAAUCCGAAAGAUGGAUUGAACUUACGGAACAAUUAAUGUUGGUAAUGAUGAAGACUUGAACAUAGAAACACUUAGCUAUGCAAGUUAUUUUUCAUGUUUUUUUUGAAGUGGAUAUUUCUUAUGUCUUAAAGACACUCUUUAUGUAUCGAGUAUAACUUGAAACUAAUUAUUUGUAUCAAAGUUAGCGAAUGUUGGCUAUACUUUUAUGAUUGGAUACAAUAAUGUAAUUGUUAGUUACAAUUCUCAUAUUGUUGGCUAUGGUUGUUUAAAGAAAUACCUUUAUGAUUAUAAGUAAACAACCAUUUUAUGGAAC
RNAcentral lists this long non-coding RNA (2403 nucleotides) under Lactuca sativa (garden lettuce). RNAcentral's name for it is "long non-coding RNA (LSAT_LNC009469)". The record is from RNAcentral. Lineage: Eukaryota; Viridiplantae; Streptophyta; Magnoliopsida; Asterales; Asteraceae.